GGGGAGGGCAAGCGUUGUUCGGAUUUACUGGGCGUAAAGGGCUCGUAGGCGGCCAUUUAAGUCGGUUGUGAAAUCCCUCGGCUCAACCGGGGAACUGCGACCGAUACUGAGUGGCUUGAAGCCGGGAGAGGGAUGCGGAAUUCCAGGUGUAGCGGUGAAAUGCGUAGAUAUCUGGAGGAACACCCGUGGCGAAGGCGGCAUCCUGGACCGGUCUUGACGCUGAGGAGCGAAAGCUAAGGUAGCAAACGGGAUUAGAUACCCCGGUAGUCUUAGCUGUAAACGAUGAAUGCUUGGUGUGGCGGGUAUCGAUCCCUGCCGUGCCGUAGCUAACGCGUUAAGCAUUCCGCCUGGGGAGUACGGUCGCAAGGCUG
This 371-nucleotide ribosomal RNA is filed under the name uncultured organism. RNAcentral describes it as "partial 16S ribosomal RNA". It matches the Rfam family "Bacterial small subunit ribosomal RNA", at positions 527 to 896 of the family's 1533-position model. The record is from RNAcentral.